UUUCCGUAGGUGAACCUGCGGAAGGAUCAUUCAUAAUAAGUGUUUUAUGGCACUUUUUUAAAUCCAUAUCCACCUUGUGUGCAAUGUCAGGGUUGAUUUUUCUCUCGAGAGGAUCAGCCCCAAACAUCAACUAUAUCUCAACUCUUUGUCUGAAAAAUAUUAUGAAUACUUAAUUCUAAAUACAACUUUCAACAACGGAUCUCUUGGCUCUC
RNAcentral lists this unclassified non-coding RNA (212 nucleotides) under plant metagenome. RNAcentral's name for it is "partial contains small subunit ribosomal RNA, internal transcribed spacer 1, and 5.8S ribosomal RNA". The record is from RNAcentral.